Molecule: unclassified non-coding RNA, 471 nt
Filed under: uncultured Diversispora
Lineage: Eukaryota; Fungi; Glomeromycota; Glomeromycetes; Diversisporales; Diversisporaceae
Description: SSU rRNA
Rfam family: Eukaryotic small subunit ribosomal RNA
Source: RNAcentral
AGCAGCCGCGGUAAUUCCAGCUCCAAUAGCGUAUAUUAAAGUUGUUGCAGUUAAAAAGCUCGUAGUUGAAUUUCGGGAUCAAUUUAUUGGUCGUGCUAUUGUACGUACUGGUAUUAUUGAUUCCUACCUUCUGACGAACCAUGAUGUCAUUAAUUUGGUGUCUUGGGGAAUCAGGACUGUUACUUUAGAAAAAUUAGAGUGUUUAAAGCAGGCUCACGCUUGAAUACAUUAGCAUGGAAUAACGAAAUAGGACGUUUGAUUCUAUUUUGUUGGUUUCUAGGAUCGACGUAAUGAUUAAUAGGGAUAGUUGGGGGCAUUAGUAUUCAAUUGUCAGAGGUGAAAUUCUUGGAUUUAUUGAAGACUAACUACUGCGAAAGCAUUUGCCAAGGAUGUUUCAUUAAUCAAGAACGAAAGUUAGGGGAUCGAAGACGAUCAGAUACCGUCGUAGUCUUAACCAUAAACUAUGCCGAC